This 1549-nucleotide ribosomal RNA is filed under the name human oral metagenome. RNAcentral describes it as "bacterial LSU rRNA". It matches the Rfam family "Bacterial large subunit ribosomal RNA", at positions 957 to 2482 of the family's 2925-position model. The record is from RNAcentral.
CGAAUGGCUCAUAUGGGCAGCCUGGGAGUCAGAAUGCGAGUGAUAAGACCCGUAUUCAAGAGGGAAACAGCCCAGACCGCCGGCUAAGGUCCCAAAUGCUGUGCUAAGUGGAGAAGGAUGUAGGACUUCGAAAACAACCAGGAUGUUGGCUCAGAAGCAGCCACCAUUAAAAGAGUGCGUAAUAGCUCACUGGUCGAGAGGCCCUGCGCCGAAAAUAUCCGGGGCUAAAGCACAGAACCGAAGCCGCGGCAGGGUGUACUAAGGUACACACUGGGUAGGGGAGCGUUCUUAUCUGGACGAAGGCAGACCGGAAGGACUGCUGGACGGGUAAGAAGUGAGAAUGCCGGUAUGAGUAGCGAAACGACAGGUGAGAAUCCUGUCCACCGAAAGCCUAAGGUAUCCCGGGCAACGCUCGUCGUCCCGGGGUAAGUCGGGACCUAAGCCGAGGCGAAAAGCAUAGGCGAUGGACAACUGGCGAAAAUUCCAGUACCGGGCGACUUCGUUUGAGGAUGGAGUGACGCAGGAAGGAAGCUGAGCGCGCGAAUGGUUGGGCGCGUCGAAGGCGGUAGGCUUGUAUGGAGGCAAAUCCCCAUACUAUAAGGCCGAGAACCGAUAGAUAGGAAAGACUACGGUCAAUCUGAAUUCAGCUGCACUACACUGCCAAGAAAAGCUUCUAACGAGAAGACGUCCGCCCGUACCAAAACCGACACAGGUAGGCGGGGAGAGAAUCCUAAGGUGCGCGGGAAAACCCUCGUUAAGGAACUCGGCAAAAUGCAUCCGUAACUUCGGGAAAAGGAUGGCCGUUGAUGGUGAAGACAUUUACUGUUGGAGCUGUUGGCGGCGGCAGAAAAGAGGCCCAAGCGACUGUUUACCACAAACACAGGUGCCUGCGAAAGCGCAAGCUGAAGUAUAGGUGCUGACGCCUGCCCGGUGCAGGAAGGUUAAGGAGAGUUGUUAGUCCUUGAGAUGAAGCAGCGAACUGAAGCCCCUGUAAACGGCGGCCGUAACUAUAACGGUCCUAAGGUAGCGAAAUUCCUUGUCGGGUAAGUUCCGACCCGCACGAAAGGCGUAACGAUUUGGGCACUGUCUCAACGAGGGACCCGGUGAAAUUGAAAUACCUGUGAAGAUGCAGGUUACCCGCGACUGGACAGAAAGACCCCAUGGAGCUUUACUGCAGCUUGGCAUUGGUCUUUGGCAUAUAACGUACAGGAUAGCCGGGAGACUGGGAGGAUAGAUCGCUAGAUCUAUCGGAGUCACCGUUGGGAUACCGGCCUUUAUAUGCUAAGGAUCUAACCGGAACAUUAACAGUGUUCGGGACAGUACCAGGCGGGCAGUUUGACUGGGGCGGUCGCCUCCGAAAGAGCAACGGAGGCGUCCAAAGGUUCCCUCAGCGCGGACAGAAAUCGCGCGAAGAGCAUAAAGGCAGAAGGGAGCUUGACUGCGAGACUGACGGGUCGAGCAGGUACGAAAGUAGGGCUUAGUGAUCCGGUGGAAAGAGAGUGGAAUUGCCAUCGCUCAACGGAUAAAAGCUACCCUGGGGAUAACAGGC